Molecule: ribosomal RNA, 305 nt
Filed under: uncultured bacterium
Lineage: Bacteria
Description: bacterial SSU rRNA
Rfam family: Bacterial small subunit ribosomal RNA
Source: RNAcentral
CCUACGGGAGGCAGCAGUGGGGAAUAUUGCACAAUGGGGGGAACCCUGAUGCAGCGACGCCGCGUGAGUGAAGAAGUAUCUCGGUACGUAAAGCUCUAUCAGCAGGGAAGAAAAUGACAGUACCUGACUAAGAAGCCCCGGCUAACUACGUGCCAGCAGCCGCGGUAAUACGUAGGGGGCAAGCGUUAUCCGGAUUUACUGAGUGUAAAGGGAGCGUAGACGGCAGCGCAAGUCUGGAGUGAAAUGCCGGGGCUCAACCCCGGAACUGCUUUGGAAACUGUGCAGCUAGAGUGCGGGAGAGGUAA